UACGGAGGGGGCUAGCGUUGUUCGGAAUUACUGGGCGUAAAGCGCACGUAGGCGGACAUUUAAGUCAGGGGUGAAAUCCCGGGGCUCAACCCCGGAACGGCCUUUGAUACUGGGUGUCUGGAGGAUGAGAGAGGCGAGUGGAAUUCCGAGUGUAGAGGUGAAAUUCGUAGAUAUUCGGAGGAACACCAGUGGCGAAGGCGGCUCGCUGGCUCAUUACUGACGCUGAGGUGCGAAAGCGUGGGGAGCAAACAGG
Molecule: ribosomal RNA, 253 nt
Filed under: uncultured bacterium
Lineage: Bacteria
Description: partial 16S ribosomal RNA
Rfam family: Bacterial small subunit ribosomal RNA
Source: RNAcentral